UCCUUCUAAUCCUCCUCCAUUCCCUUCCUGAGUCGAGGCUUCUGCUGAAGAGCCCUUACUGGAGAUCAGCAUCCUGUGAUCCUGAGCAUCCAUGAGACAUAUGCACCUCUAACCUCCCUUGGAAAGGGUUUACAUAGGAUUGAACGGAGGGAGAGUUACUAUUGUUUUUACUUCUUCUCUAAGCCAUGUUUUCUGUCGCACACACCAGAUUUCAGUGGCUUGCCUUCUGUGAAUAGAAAUUUGUCAGACACUUAUUUUGUUGAUUUAGUUCUGUUGGUAAACACUGGAGCACAGUCUCGUAGUCAUCUCUCGGAGUUAGAACUGUCAGCUACUAGGAGCUAAAAAAAAAGAGGGACUCCUAGGCAUACUGCCAUUCAACAGAAUCUCUUUCUUUAUUCUAAGAGUUCAAAAAAUAUGGUGCAGCCAGAUUUUUUCUUUUUCACAGAGUUAAGUAUAAUCCAGCUAAAAAUAGUGCCAUGUUUUAAUAUCUGUAACCUAGAAUUUUUAUCCACGCAAAAAUAUUUUCACUUAUAGCCGUUUGUGUAAACUUUGCUUAAGGAAAUUAAUUAAUAGAUAUAUGAGUACUUAAUUUUAAAUGUGAAUCUCCAUAAAUAAAAACAUAUUUUCAUUGGCUAAUAAAAUUCCCUCAUCCCCUCAAUUACUUUGCUCUCUCCAGUGUAAAUCCUUUUUAGGAAAAAUGGGAUGACAGCUGGCAUUAUUUGGUCUCCGUUAUGUGCAUGGCUGACUGAUAAGCAAUUUACACACAUUCUCCUCUUCAGGUCUUAUAAGAAACUUAUGUCUCUCUUAGAGAGACAUAUUAUCUCCAUUUUCCUAAGAAGAAUACAGAUUUGGGGGAUUAAGUAACAUUUCAAAGAUCACAUAGAAAAAUGUCAAUGCUGGAAUUUGAGCUAUGGUCGAUCUAAUUUUAAAAGUCUACUUCUAGAUUUGUAAAAUUUAAUCUAUCCUUGACACAUGCAUGGAACAGAAGACUCUUCCUCUAGCACUGGCAGAGGAAAGGAUUAGAAUAAUGAGAUAACUUUCUACAAUAUGUAAAACCAUGUACACCUAACAACACAUCAACAAUCAUACAAUUGAAAAUGUGGUUUAAUCGUAGCUGUAGAUAUGUUUUGUCAUAAGUGAGACCUACACUUCAAUAGCAACAAUAAAAAUGAAUUAAUAUUUAGAAUAUAAAUUCUGGCACAUACACCACAUCUUCUUUAAAAUUCAUUGAAUAUAUUGAAAUAAAACCAGUCAUGUAAAAUGACUUAAUGAUGAACUUAUGGAAUAUCCUAUAGUUCUCAGUGUAUGUUUAGAACUUUCUGGUGUUCCAAUCUUACCAUAGACCAGGGGCUUACAGCCUGUGCCUGGUCCCAUCAGGACCCAACAGGUGGAUGUUCGAUAUUAUCUUCUCUUUUAGGUCACUUGCCAAUCAGGAAGUUAAACAAUGACCUAUGUUCUUCAUAUAAGAAAGCAGAACAUUCCGGGCCUUUAAUGUUUCAAAAACUUCUCUGUAUUGGCCUAGAGGCUUCUCUUACUUGGACUUUUACAGUGGCUUGAGGUCAUAGUUUUGGGAUGCAAACACAUAACAUUCACUUCCAACUUCUGACUCCAUUUAUAUUUCUCAUCUAUUUAUUUCUGCCCUGGUUCUUGUCUGACAUCUUGAUUUUGGCACCAAAUUAGUUCUUCAUAAGAAUGAAUCUAAAAGUAGGCCCUGCUGUUUAUUCUAAGUUUUUCUUAAAUCCUCUGAUUUUCUUCCUAGGUAUGUCUCCAUAUAUUUAACUAUAAGCAGUCCUUUUUCAGCACAUUAUAUUGGUGCUUAUAAUAUGUUAUCAGAAGAAUAGUUUUUGCUGCAUGUCAUAAAAACCUGGAUUCCAACAGUCUUAAACUAUCCAUUAUUCCACAUAGCAGGAGAUCCAGAGAAAAUGCAGGCUUCAAGUUUGGUUGACCUGGUGAUGUCAUCAACGAUCCAGGAUCAUUUCAUCUCUUCUCAGCCAUUCUCAGUUUAGGCUCCAUUUUCAGGCUGGUGGAAAUAUAGCUGCAGCAGUUCAAGUUUUCUAAUUCUGACACAAUAUCUAGAAGGGAAGAGACCAUCCUUUUCUGGAGGUCUCUCUUUGAGCCAAGGAAAUGUUUCUUGAAGGUCCCUGCAGACUUCCUCACACAUCUCAUUGGUCAUAUGCCCAGGCUUGAAACCACUCACUGGCAAGAGGAAUGAAUCUGCAAUGAUUCAGCAUUGAUAGAUCAUUCACCUCCAUAUCACCUAAAAGAAGAAAGUUAAAGGCAGCAGUAUAUUUAUUUGUUGAGGGUUGUCACCGUGUUCCCUUUCCUUGCUGUGGGUGAGUGGAAGGAAGCUGCAAGAAGACCACUCACAGAGCUUGGCAUAUGCCCAUUAGUAUUCGGAGGAGGAAGCGACUGGUACCUGAUGCCUACCUGAAAAUGUCUAAUGGGAAAGAUCUGGCCAACCACUCUGAAGGCAGAGCAAGAGGAGUGUACUACAUUCAGAGGAAGCCACUCUUCUACCAAAAGCAAGGACAAGGCCCCUAGGCAGAAGGACUUCCCUUGUCUCAGAUGAAACUUUGGACUUGGACUUUUGGGUUAAUGCUGGAAUAAAUUAUGACUUUGGAGGACUGUUGGGAAGGCAUGAUUUGCUUCAAAAUGUGAAAGAUACAUGAGAUUUGACAGGGGCCAGGGCUGGAAUGACAUGGUUAGGGUUUGUGUUUCCACCUAAAUCUCAUCUUGAAUUAUAAUCCCCAUAAUCCCCAUAAUGCCCACAUGUCAAGGCAGAGACCAGGUGAAGAUAAUUGGAUGAUAGGGACAGUUUCCCUCAUGCUGUUCUCAUGAUAGUGAGUGAAUUCUCACAAGAUCUAAUGGUUUUAUAAGUGUUUGGUAGUUCCUCUUGCAUUCAUUCUCCUUCCUGCUGCCUGUGAGAAGGUGCCUUGCUUCCCCUUUGCCUUCCACCAUAAUCGUAAGUUUCCUGAGGUCUCCCAAGCCAUGUGCAACUGUGAGUCAAUUAAACCUCUUUCCUUUAUAAACUACUCAAUCUCAGGCAGUUCUUUAUAUCAGUGUGAAAAUGGAUUAAUACUGUGUGUGUGUGUGUAAAUGUGUGUUCUUUAUUGUAUAUUAUAAACACUUAGCUGUACAUACACACAUAUAUAUCUGCACACAAAUGUAAGUGACAUGUGACUAGGAAAAACAAAUGAAGUAUAUCUUUGCUGUAAUAAAAGAUACUGAAAGGGUAAGGUUGGUCCCCCACCCAUCUGCUCUCACAGGGACAGUGUGUAUUUAACACAGAUGCUAUGGAUGAGCCACCCAAAACAUGAGGGCAAAUUUCACCCUCUGUCACUUAGUCCUUUCACAUCUUGAGUUAAUCAUA
This 3370-nucleotide long non-coding RNA is filed under the name Homo sapiens (human). RNAcentral describes it as "HSALNT0138569". Lineage: Eukaryota; Metazoa; Chordata; Mammalia; Primates; Hominidae. The record is from RNAcentral.